This 298-nucleotide ribosomal RNA is filed under the name Oxyrrhis marina. Its description in RNAcentral is "partial Bacterial large subunit ribosomal RNA". It matches the Rfam family "Bacterial large subunit ribosomal RNA", at positions 1993 to 2290 of the family's 2925-position model. Lineage: Eukaryota; Dinophyceae; Oxyrrhinales; Oxyrrhinaceae. The record is from RNAcentral.
CGAAUGGCGUAACGACUUCCCCACUGUCUCCAGCAUAGACUCAGUGAAAUUGAACUCUCCGUGAAGAUGCGGAGUUCCUGCGGUCAGACGGAAAGACCCCGUGAACCUUUACUACAGCUUUGCACUGGACUUUGAUUUUAUCUGUGUAGGAUAGGUGGGAGACUUUGAAGCAUGAUCGCUAGAUCUUGUGGAGUCGUCCUUGAAAUACCACCCUGAUAACGUUGAGGUUCUAACUUGGGUCCCUUAUCGGGAUUAAGGACAGUGUAUGGUGGGUAGUUUGACUGGGGCGGUCUCCUCC